This 3164-nucleotide long non-coding RNA is filed under the name Arabidopsis lyrata. Its description in RNAcentral is "long non-coding RNA (ALYR_LNC000618)". The record is from RNAcentral. Lineage: Eukaryota; Viridiplantae; Streptophyta; Magnoliopsida; Brassicales; Brassicaceae.
ACUUUAUUAAUUACAUUUCAAAAUUUAUAACAUGAUAUAUUGUUGGGAAAAUGAACUUAUAUUCAUGUAUUUUUUUUUUAAAAUAUAUAGGUGUUACUUCGAUAACAAUUGAUGACAAAACCGGGAAAAUGACUGUAGUUGGUGAAGUUGAUGUACCGGUUAUUGUGAUGAAGCUAAGGAAGCUAUGUAACACAGAGAUUGUUUCGGUUGAAGUUGUUAAACCACCUGAGAAAAAGCCUGAACCGGAGAAACCGGCUCCACUUAAACCAGCUCCAGCUCCAGCUAAACCGGGUGAAAUUGUUGCCUGGCCGGUUCAGAUGAACAACCCUUACCAAUACCAUCCUGCCUAUGCAAAUUCUUACUAUCAACCAUACGGAAAUUCUAGAUUUGUAACGGACGAAUCAAAUUGUGUGAUUAUGUGAUUUUUAUAGAGUUAUUUCAAAUAAUGUUAAGUUAGUUUUAAUGGAAGAAUGUAAUUUUUUGAGCUACUGUAAUAUACAUUUCUCGUAUGAGCUUAUUCGGAAAAAAAUUAAGUUACUGUGUGAUAAAAUUGAUCUUUAUACGUUAUGUUAACUUUUACUUUUAAUCAUCUUGUAAUAUUUGAUCUUUUUUCCUAUAGAGAAUAUUCUCUAUACUUUGUCUUUUGCUAGUAUUCUGAUCAAUUGGAUACAAAAAUAUAACACACACACAUAGUUAAGUCGCUCUCAACUCAUUUAUGAAUAUCAAGAAUCAAGAUCGUUCACGUAAUACAUUCGAUUGUCCAAAACUAAAAUAAUUUUGAAACAAUUAUUGAAGAAUGAGAUGUUAGUAAAGAUGUGAUGGAGAGAGUCAAGAUCGGAAAGUCUCCUUUAACAAAACAAAUAAAAAAUAAAAAAAAUCCCUAGAAGAUUCCUACGUGUGGGGGAUCCACAUGUAAAUUGAGGUUUCGAGGAGAUUUCCUUUCUUGACUAUGAAAUGGCAGUAUUAUUCAAGUCUUCUUAUCAUUUUGCUAAUAAUAUGAAUCGCAUGAAACAAUUCAAAAAGUUAAAAUUUUGGAUUCAUGCAUGCAUAAUGCAUUCAUUUGAUUUUGAGAUCUAACAAAACUCUUGUGUCAGAUUAAGUCAUAACUUCUAAAAUUUUAGUUUAAAUCAUGUGUUAUUUAUUCAAUAAAAUACAAGUUAAAAAUUUUGUGUUAUUCUAUUAAUAUUUUAAAUUACAAGGUAGAAAUUAUGAUUUUUUCUGAGAAUUUUUUUUUUUUUUUUUUUUUUUGCACAACAAAGAUUUGUGGGUAUGAAAUGUGCUAUACUAGUAUGAUGCAGGUAGCACAAUUCGAGGAGUCUUGUUUGUCUAAGAGUAAAGUUAUAAAUCGAGAGCAUGGUGCAAAGAAAACCAUUUUACCGUGGUGUGAAUAUAAUUGUUUGUUGAAAAAUCGUAUGUAGAAUCGCUCGCCAUAAAAAAUUGCAUAAAUGAAUUGAUAGUCAUGAUCAUGAAUGUUGUUGAUCAAUUAUAAUUUGGAUAAAAAAGGUUAAAGUUUCUUCAAAUUAUAGUGUAUCAGAAAAACAAAAGAAACGUGUGGGGUAUAUUAGAAUAAAAGGUAUUUAGUAAUUUUUUUAUAUAUUUAAUGAGAUUAAACACGUCUACUUUCUAUAUUUUAUACACUAGCGCAUUAAUCAAAAAUAGAAAAUUUGACAUAGUAGGAGAGUCAGCUUUUAGUCUAAAAUUUGGAGAAAUGAAUAUACUAAGGGAAUAUACUCAUCUCUCCCUAUAAUACUCAUCUAUAGCAAAAUGGAGAGAGUAUAAAUUAAGAUAAAGAUUCACAUACAUUGUUUCCGAAUUGUUAUUAUUUUCUUAAAAUUUGAACAAUUUCUCGAUUAGUGUGUCGUCCUUAUGCUAAUCUUCUUUGUAUUGUUCCAAAUUUUAUCAAAUAUUCCCGGUAACAGAAAUUUAACCUCAAGAAACAAACAUGUGAUCUAAUUUACACAAAUAUUCGUUUCCAUCACAAACACAAAACCUAGAGAUCACAAACUACUACUUGUUACCUUUUUGUUGUUGUUGUUAAAGAUCUUGCUACUUAUUACUUUCUUCUUGACUGCCUCGAUGAUCUCGGGAUUUAAACUUUUCUUUUGGCAGCUUCGAAUUAUUUUCGUGUGGCUCUGAGUAGGCAUUGCUAUAUGAUAACUAGAGAGAACAACGAUAACAUUUGAUCAAACUUAUCUUUCCUCUCAUCUCUUUAUAACAUCUUUAAAAAUUAUUAAAGAACAAUUGUGACUUAAAUCUCGGUUUGAUUUCGAUUUUAUCUAUUGGUUUUGGUAUGAUUCAACUUUUCCAAGAACACACUGUAGAGAACUUUCCUGAGAAUUGCUUAUGUGACCAAAGAGUCAAUAGGGUCAACAGAUGGUCCGGGUCGACCCGGUCGUACACGCGGCAUUCUGAAUGUUAACCAAAAUAAUAUAGAAUGACUACUUUACUCUUUAGUCUUUUAUAACAACUUUUUGGGGUCAUACUCGCAAAUUCCUACGCAAUUUCUAUAUAAAUAGAUAUCAUAAGACUUGCAAUAUGUCAUCAAGAAGCUUCGAUAUCUCAAUCUAUCUCUACUCUUUCUCUCUUUAAAAAAAAAACAAAAUAUCCAAAAUUUCUGGAGUAGUUUCUCGAGCCAUGACGACCGCGAAGGUACGCAUUUCAUUUUAUCAUCCUUAGACUAUGCGUUAAUUAAUCGUUAUAUACUAUUCUAACUAUAAAAUUAUCAUUUUUUACAUUGAAACUAUGCAAUUAUCCAUACUGAUUUCUCAUUUGCAAUAACAGAAAGUUGUGUUGCAAUUAAGCAUUCACGAGGAGAAAAUCAGGAAGAAAGCGCUUGUCACCGUUUCUCGAUUUUCAGGUAUCUAUUAUGAAAUUUCUAUUAGAAAUUUUUAAUAUGAUAUAUAAGGAAAAUAAACUUGUAUUAAUGAUUUUUUUUCUUUAUAUAUAUAGGGGUUACUUCGAUAACAAUAGAUGACAAAAGUGGGAAAAUGACGGUAGUUGGAGAAGUUGAUGUACCAGUUAUCGUGAUCAAGCUGAGGAAGCUAUGUCACACAGAUAUCGUUUCGGUAGAUGAUGUUAAACCACCUGAGAAAAAGCCUGAACCGGAGAAACCAGCUCUACCUAUACCGGCUGAAUUUAUUACAUAUCCGAUGAACUACGCGUAC